UACGAAGGGGGCUAGCGUUGCUCGGAUUGACUGGGCGUAAAGGGCGCGUAGGCGGUUCGUACAGUCAGACGUGAAAUUCCUGGGCUCAACCUGGGGGCUGCGUUUGAUACGUGCGGGCUUGAGUGCGGAAGAGGGUCGCGGAAUUCCCGGUGUAGAGGUGAAAUUCGUAGAUAUCGGGAGGAACACCGGUGGCGAAGGCGGCGACCUGGGUAGAUACUGACGCUGAGGCGCGAAAGCGUGGGGAGCGAACAGG
This 253-nucleotide ribosomal RNA is filed under the name uncultured bacterium. Its description in RNAcentral is "partial 16S ribosomal RNA". It matches the Rfam family "Bacterial small subunit ribosomal RNA", at positions 524 to 776 of the family's 1533-position model. The record is from RNAcentral.